UACGUAGGGGGCGAGCGUUGUCCGGAUUUAUUGGGCGUAAAGAGCUCGUAGGCGGCUUGGCAAGUCGGGUGUGAAACCUCCAGGCUCAACCUGGAGACGCCACUCGAUACUGCCAUGGCUAGAGUCCGGUAGGGGACCACGGAAUUCCUGGUGUAGCGGUGAAAUGCGCAGAUAUCAGGAGGAACACCGGUGGCGAAGGCGGUGGUCUGGGCCGGCACUGACGCUGAGGAGCGAAAGCGUGGGUAGCGAACAGG
This 254-nucleotide ribosomal RNA is filed under the name uncultured bacterium. Its description in RNAcentral is "partial 16S ribosomal RNA". It matches the Rfam family "Bacterial small subunit ribosomal RNA", at positions 524 to 776 of the family's 1533-position model. The record is from RNAcentral.